RNAcentral lists this ribosomal RNA (590 nucleotides) under Sphingobacterium kitahiroshimense. RNAcentral's name for it is "bacterial SSU rRNA". It matches the Rfam family "Bacterial small subunit ribosomal RNA", at positions 855 to 1454 of the family's 1533-position model. The record is from RNAcentral. Lineage: Bacteria; Pseudomonadati; Bacteroidota; Sphingobacteriia; Sphingobacteriales; Sphingobacteriaceae.
AAGCGUUAAGUUAUCCACCUGGGGAGUACGGUCGCAAGAUUGAAACUCAAAGGAAUUGACGGGGGCCCGCACAAGCGGAGGAGCAUGUGGUUUAAUUCGAUGAUACGCGAGGAACCUUACCCGGGCUUGAAAGUUAGUGAAUGAUCCAGAGACGGAUCAGUCCUUCGGGACACGAAACUAGGUGCUGCAUGGCUGUCGUCAGCUCGUGCCGUGAGGUGUUGGGUUAAGUCCCGCAACGAGCGCAACCCCUAUGUUUAGUUGCCAGCACAUUAAGGUGGGGACUCUAAACAGACUGCCAGCGUAAGCUGUGAGGAAGGUGGGGACGACGUCAAGUCAUCAUGGCCCUUACGUCCGGGGCUACACACGUGCUACAAUGGACGGUACAGCGGGCAGCUACAUAGCAAUAUGAUGCUAAUCUCUAAAAGCCGUUCACAGUUCGGAUUGAGGUCUGCAACUCGACCUCAUGAAGUUGGAUUCGCUAGUAAUCGCGUAUCAGCAAUGACGCGGUGAAUACGUUCCCGGGCCUUGUACACACCGCCCGUCAAGCCAUGAAAGUUGGGGGUACCUAAAGCAUGUAACCGCAAGGAGCG